CACACACACACACACCUAAUCAUCAUUUUGUACACACACCAACAUUGCUGUAUGCCACAUGCACACUCUAAACACAUAUUCAACAACAGAUGCAUGUACCAUGCUCUUCAAACUCUGAACAAACUCUAACAGAAAUGCACACCAAUACACACACAUGCACACAACCCUCCUCCUGCUGUAGAUGAGUCAUGGUGAGUGGGGGCUUAAAAACUCUCUCGCCAUCCCCCCCCCCCCCCCCUCUGAUUUUCAUAUCUUUCCUGAUGCAGUGCUAUCUUGUUUUCACUCACUCAUUCUCUCUUUCGCUCUCUUUCUCUCUCUACCACUCUCUCCUCUCCCUUGCCUAGAUACAGUGGUUGUUUACAAGGCAAGUGAGCAGGGAUGAGAGAGCUGUUUUCUUUUUGCAUCUGUUCAUGUUUUCGACCACAUCUUUCCAGCUAAGACGCUUCAAUAAUGUAUUUCCUCUUCCAUCCAUACUUCCAUUUCAUCAUCUUCUAUCCUUAUUUUUACUGCCUUAUAACUCCCCAACCUCUCUUAUCCAUCCCAUCUUUUCCUCUCAUCAUGUCUCAGUAGAAUUUUUCAACCAUUAUCGGUCUAAGGAGGACAGUCAGUAGGUGUGUGUGUGUGUGUGUGUGUGUGUGUGUGUGUGUGUGUGUGUGUGUGUGUGUGUGUGUGUGUGUGUGUGUGUGUGUGUGUGUGUGUGUGUGUGUGUGUGUGUGUGUGUGUGUGUGUGUGUGUGUGUGUGUGUGUGUGUGUGUACAGUAUGUCAUAUGUAACCCAAGCCACAGACCUGUUAAGCCUCAUGUGUACAUACACACACGUGUGUACGGGCGGGGGUGUAGCUUGGUGUCUGAGUGUAUUUGUGUCUGCUGCGUUAAGCGCUGAACUGUGAUUGGCUGGAAAAGGGGGUAAGGACCCCCACGUGACGUGUUGUAUCGCAUUAGCAGCUACGUAGUGAGGAGGAGGAGGAGGAGAAGGGGGGGGGGGGGAUGAAUGAAUGGAGCGUUGACGUCACACCAACUGUAAUUGUGUGUUUUUGUGAGUGCAGCUUCCUGCAGGUUGACUAGCUGUCAUGUCACCAGCUCUCUGCUGCUCUCUGCUCUGCUUACUAACUUCCUGACCAGCUCGUGUGCUGUGAGCUUGUGUGUCAAGCAUAACCUGAUAUUUCUUAAAUCUGAUCCAAGACAUUUUGAUUUUCUUAUAGGGAGAAAAAGCAAGAAAAACAUUUAAUUUACCGUAUCAAAAAAAAAAUGUGUUAGACCUGAAUAUCUAUAAUCAAGCACAUUACAGUAACCUCUACUGCAUCUGGUCAUGAAGUAUCCCGAAUGAAUAUGUAAUGGUUUUAGGGCUUUUGUCCCUGAGGUCCACAUGUAGGUCUGCACCUUAUGAUUACUUAUUGAUUGAUCAUUAAACCAUUUUCUUAAUAUCAUUUGUAAUAUUUAAAUCAUCAAAGAUGUGAAAAAAAAUCAAAAUUUAGCGUAACAUGUCCAUGUCGACCCAAACAACAUGUAAAUAAAGCUGAAUGUUUGAAACAUGUUUAGCAAUUAAGAAAAUGAAUGAAGGGUUUAUAGGAAAAAAGGAUGCUUUAUAUGAAAAAUAUCCAAAAUAUCAAGCCUUUGAUGGUUCAGUUUGUCCACAGUGUAAUUGUAACCCACUACGGCUAGGCUUACAAUGUAAUAAACACAGUUCAUAUUUACUGUUGGGUUUUGGAACAUCUGUUUGAAGAUGUCCAUUUUUGUUCUCGCAAACUCUUAGCAAAAAACAUAUUUAUGCUUUAUUAGAUCAAAUUUAAAUCUGUCACUGAAUUAAGAACAUGUAAACACAC
Molecule: long non-coding RNA, 1822 nt
Organism: Labrus mixtus (cuckoo wrasse)
Lineage: Eukaryota; Metazoa; Chordata; Actinopteri; Labriformes; Labridae
Exons: 2
Source: RefSeq, a predicted model, not a curated record